RNAcentral lists this ribosomal RNA (490 nucleotides) under uncultured bacterium. RNAcentral describes it as "partial 16S ribosomal RNA". It matches the Rfam family "Bacterial small subunit ribosomal RNA", at positions 30 to 507 of the family's 1533-position model. The record is from RNAcentral.
AUUGAACGCUGGCGGCAUGCUUUACACAUGCAAGUCGGACGGCAGCACAGAGAAGCUUGCUUCUUGGGUGGCGAGUGGCGAACGGGUGAGUAAUAUAACGGUACGUACCGAGUAAUGGGGGAUAACUAAUCGAAAGAUUAGCUAAUACCGCAUAUUCUCUGAGGAGGAAAGCAGGGGACCUUCGGGCCUUGCGUUAUUCGAGCGGCCGAUAUCUGAUUAGCUAGUUGGUGGGGUAAAGGCCUACCAAGGCGACGAUCAGUAGCGGGUCUGAGAGGAUGAUCCGCCACACUGGGACUGAGACACGGCCCAGACUCCUACGGGAGGCAGCAGUGGGGAAUUUUGGACAAUGGGCGCAAGCCUGAUCCAGCCAUGCCGCGUGUCUGAAGAAGGCCUUCGGGUUGUAAAGGACUUUUGUCAGGGAAGAAAAGGCUGUUGCUAAUAUCGACAGCUGAUGACGGUACCUGAAGAAUAAGCACCGGCUAACUACGUG